This 591-nucleotide ribosomal RNA is filed under the name uncultured Rhizoscyphus. Its description in RNAcentral is "eukaryotic LSU rRNA". The stretch from base 232 to 385 matches the Rfam family "5.8S ribosomal RNA". The record is from RNAcentral. Lineage: Eukaryota; Fungi; Ascomycota; Leotiomycetes; Helotiales; Helotiaceae.
CUUGGUCAUUUAGAGGAAGUAAAAGUCGUAACAAGGUUUCCGUAGGUGAACCUGCGGAAGGAUCAUUAAAGAAUUGCCCCAUUUUUUGAAAUGGGUUCUAUUCCCAAACCGUGUAUACAUACCUUUGUUGCUUUGGCAAGCCGUCCUUCGGGCGCAGCUUCGGCUGAGAGCGCUUGCCAGAGGACCCCAACUCUUUUGUUUAGUGAUGUCUGAGUACUAUAUAAUAGUUAAAACUUUCAACAACGGAUCUCUUGGUUCUGGCAUCGAUGAAGAACGCAGCGAAAUGCGACAAGUAAUGUGAAUUGCAGAAUUCAGUGAAUCAUCGAAUCUUUGAACGCACAUUGCGCCCCUUGGUAUUCCGAGGGGCAUGCCUGUUCGAGCGUCAUUAUGACCACUCAAGCCUAGCUUGGUAUUGGGGUUCGCGGUCUCGCGGCUCUUAAAAUCAGUGGCGGUGCCAUCUGGCUCUAAGCGUAGUAAUUCUCUCGCUAUAGGGCUCCGGUAGUUGCUUGCCAAAACCCCCCUAUUUCUCACGGUUGACCUCGGAUCAGGUAGGGAUACCCGCUGAACUUAAGCAUAUCAAUAAGCGGAGGA